UACAGAGGGUGCGAGCGUUGUUCGGAAUUAUUGGGCGUAAAGGGCGCGUAGGCGGUGCGGUAAGUCACCUGUGAAAUCUCCUGGCUCAACUGGGAGCUUGCAGGCGAAACUGCCGUGCUGGAGUGUGGGAGAGGUGCGUGGAAUUCCCGGUGUAGCGGUGAAAUGCGCAGAUAUCAGGAAGAACACCCGUGGCGAAGGCGGCUCUCUGGGACGGUACUGACGCUGAGACGCGAAAGCGUGGGGAGCGAACAGG
Molecule: ribosomal RNA, 253 nt
Filed under: uncultured bacterium
Lineage: Bacteria
Description: partial 16S ribosomal RNA
Rfam family: Bacterial small subunit ribosomal RNA
Source: RNAcentral